AGAGAAUAGAUACCCGGGUAGUCCACGCAGUAAACGAUGAGUGCUAGUCAUUGGGGUCAUAGAUCUCGGUGGCGAAAGCUAACGCGUUAAGCACUCCGCCUGGGGAGUACGGCCGCAAGGCUAAAACUCAAAGGAAUUGACGGGGACCCGCACAAGCAGUGGAGCAUGUGGUUUAAUUCGAUGCUACGCGAAAAACCUUACCAGCUCUUGUAUCCUCACUAUGAUUCUCAGAAAUGAGUUUCUUCACUUCGGGUGGGUGAGAGACAGGUGUUGCAUGGCUGUCGUCAGCUCGUGUCGUGAGAUGUUUA
Molecule: ribosomal RNA, 308 nt
Filed under: uncultured bacterium
Lineage: Bacteria
Description: bacterial SSU rRNA
Rfam family: Bacterial small subunit ribosomal RNA
Source: RNAcentral